This 72-nucleotide transfer RNA is filed under the name Ictidomys tridecemlineatus (thirteen-lined ground squirrel). Its description in RNAcentral is "Spermophilus tridecemlineatus (thirteen-lined ground squirrel) tRNA". It matches the Rfam family "tRNA". Rfam says of the family: Transfer RNA (tRNA) molecules are approximately 80 nucleotides in length. The record is from Rfam by way of RNAcentral. Lineage: Eukaryota; Metazoa; Chordata; Mammalia; Rodentia; Sciuridae.
CGGGAUGGAGCUCAGUAGUAGAGUGAUUGCUAAGCAUGCAUGAGGACCUGGGUUCAAUUCCCAGCAUCACAC